This 354-nucleotide unclassified non-coding RNA is filed under the name soil metagenome. RNAcentral describes it as "partial contains 5.8S ribosomal RNA, internal transcribed spacer 2, and large subunit ribosomal RNA". The stretch from base 1 to 120 matches the Rfam family "5.8S ribosomal RNA", at positions 35 to 154 of the family's 154-position model. The record is from RNAcentral.
GAUGAAGAACGCAGCGAAAUGCGAUAAGUAGUGUGAAUUGCAGAAUUCAGUGAAUCAUCGAAUCUUUGAACGCACAUUGCACCUCCUGGUAUUCCGGGAGGCAUGCCUGUUCGAGCGUCAUUAAAAUCACUCAAGCUUAGGUUUACCUAUUGCUUGGUCUUGGAGAUGGAAGCCAAUUUAUUGGAAUCCUCUUCGAAAUUCAAUGGCGAAGACCCUUGCUCUCCCAAGUGUAGUAAUAACUUAUGUCACUGAAGGAAGCGAGAAAUCUUCUGCCGUAACCCCCAUAUUUUCUAUGAUUGACCUCGGAUCAGGUAGGGAUACCCGCUGAACUUAAGCAUAUCAAUAAGCGGAGGA